Long non-coding RNA from Sebastes umbrosus (honeycomb rockfish), 910 nucleotides. RefSeq lists it as uncharacterized. Lineage: Eukaryota; Metazoa; Chordata; Actinopteri; Perciformes; Sebastidae. The record is from RefSeq and is a predicted model, not a curated record. The transcript is spliced from 5 exons.
GGUUUGCCAACCGCCAAUAAACACCAAAGAAGAAGAAAAAGACGUACACGUUAGAUGUGUGCUGUUUACGACAAAGACGUGAUCCUGCUGUCACCAAAUAUUGAUAAAGUGUCAAGACAAAAGUCUUGGGUAGAAAAAUCAUCAAGAUGUACUGGGCACCGCGAGCGAGAUUGCAUGACAAGUAAAGACACUCCAAUUAAGAUGAAUACAUAUUGGUACCAACCAGGGCCGAUCCACGGCAACAGAUAUGGAGUGAAUGUCACCGCAACCCUCUCCAGCCCUCCAGGGCUGAGCCUCGCAGACGUCAAGUGUUAAUUUAGGGUUCCUGCCGAGCGUGAGCCUGUCAGCGGCGAGGCUUGGAGGAGGGAGAGAGGCGAGGUCUGUAUCUAAGAUCAUGGACACUAGCAGAGGAGACCAGAAAGAUAAUUUUUUGAAAAACAUGAGAAGAAGGAGGUUCAUGUGGAGCUGAGGAUUGCCCAAAUAUCCUCCAUAUCUGUCACUGGCAUUUUUUUCCCUAGUAAAAGCCGUUUCUGACCAGCGCAAUACGAAAAUGUGGUGUGGGAAUGCAGAAAAUAUGCGUUUGACGUUCCGCAUUGACAGCUAUGCACACCAGGUCCGGUGCAAAUUAUCCGUGUUCCAUUUUCGUCAAUGAGGUCCAAUGAUUUUCCUCCUAAAAAGUGCCCUAAUCCACUCCACACAACAAAAACCUAUCCAGACAGAGACUGCCUCAGAGGCUAACAUUGACUACACAAUACAGAAACUAAUCGGACCCCAAAUGUGAUGCUAAGGCUAGCUGUUGUGGCUAGCCCCGUUCUAUGACCAACAUAUGUAGCAAUUGCAUAUCAGCUACAUUGCCAUCUUUAUCGAUAUCCCAGCUGCUGGGUGAUCUCAAGCCAUAUAUUGUCCAUUA